This 484-nucleotide ribosomal RNA is filed under the name cf. Nephtyidae sp. DH-2009. Its description in RNAcentral is "partial 16S ribosomal RNA". It matches the Rfam family "Bacterial large subunit ribosomal RNA", at positions 1851 to 2597 of the family's 2925-position model. Lineage: Eukaryota; Metazoa; Annelida; Polychaeta; Phyllodocida; Nephtyidae. The record is from RNAcentral.
GGNUCAUCCUGCCCGGUGAAAUUUUUAACGGCCGCGGUACCCUGACCGUGCAAAGGUAGCAUAAUCAUUUGCCUUUUAAUUGAAGGCUAGUAUGAAUGGAUAAAUGAGGAUUUAGCUGUCUCUUUUAUAAAAAUAUAAAUUAAUCUUCAGGUGAAGAAGCCUGUAUAAUAAUAAAAGACAAGAAGACCCUAUUGAGCUUUACUUUAACUUUAAUUAAUAAAGUAUUGAUACAUAAAAAAUAAAAGCUGUAAGUUUGGUUGGGGCGACAAGGGGAAAUUUAAAACUCCCCAUAACACAUAGAUUUACAAAUCAAUUAAUGAUCCGAUUAAUAUUCGACCAUAGGAAAAAGCUACCAUAGGGAUAACAGGCUAAUUCUUCUAAAGAGCCCACAUUGAUAGAAGAGAUUGGCACCUCGAUGUUGGCUUAGAAUGUCCUUCUGGUGCAGCAGCCAGAAAGGGUUGGUUUGUUCAACCAUAAAAAUUCU